UAGCUAAGCUAAUGGUAGAAAAUAAGAGUUCAAGAAACAAAUUUGUGAAAGUGGAUCAAGGCAAAGCAGAACAGGCCCCGAUCUGGACAAUCAGGCCCAUUCGUUGGGGGAUGCAUGGGCAAGGCAGGGUGCAGUAUCGUGGAUGAAGGUCAUUGGGCCUAAGGCCCAAACCUGGUUCCCUAAGGCCAAUACAUUGGUUCGAAACGGCUAACCAAGCUUCUUCUCCUUCAACGAAUCGCGGCGACGAUGUCGUAAGGAAAGAGGAAGGUCUCGCCGGACCUGGCUUCGCCGACAUUACCACCGGCGUUUACUCGUAUCGAGUCAUAUUCAUCUAGCUAAAACUCGAUUCAAAUCGAGUCGGAAACAGAAACGUAUUGCACGGUGGAAACUCACGGCACAACAUCGGAAUCCGAUUCAAACUACAACAGGCAAAAUCGAUCGGUGUGAAGCGAAUAAGGGAACCUACCGGCGUCACAAAACUCCGUGGAGGAUUCGGAACUCACAAAACUCCAAUUCUCCGCUCUUCUUCUCCCGUUUGGUUGCAUGUUGCUUCCGUCGCGACUGCUCUUCGUGGAUGUGUAUCCCGUGGAGAUUAUGGUUUGGCUUUGUGAAUUCUCGGCAGUUCGAUUCACACAGCAGCUACAAGAAUUGCCACAGUGCGGUGCUUCGAUGCGGAUUCCGGUGAGGCUUUGUUGGGCGGUGGUCGUUGCGGUUUGUGUGCGGUAGAAACGGUUAUGGAAAUUUGGUUGAGCUUUGGUGGAGUUCAAGGAGAAAGAAAAAGAAUGGAAGAGUUUAUUAGAAAUUGGAGAGAGGGAAGAAGAUUCGAGAGCCAAAAAUCGCCGUGAAUCAGAUUUGGUUUGCUCGCGUUUGGAGAUGUGUCAUUUUGCAGCUGUUCGUGAAGCUAGUUUACAAUGUCGUUUUGUCAAUGCGCUAUGCAGCUUGUGGCUUUAAGUUUCGCUUUAGGAUUGUCGUUCCAUUUUGGCUUGGUGGUAGCUAUUGUUGAUGUCGUUUGCAGCUUGUUGAAGUUAGUUUUGGUUGAGGCUUUAGUAGCAGUGUAUGUUUUGUGCAGCAGCUUUGGUUAAGGUUGAGAAAUUUUUUGAAGAGAAAUGGUUCUGGAUAUGUGAACUUUUUGGAAUGGCUUAUUGCCGCUUGUGCACUUUCGCCGUUUAUGCCUUACUUCUUGGUGGCCUUCUUUUCCAAUUGCAUUUCCAAUUUCAACAACACAUUCUGCCUGAUGUAUUCACUUUCUUUUAAUUGGCUUAAUAAAUUUGGAUAAUGGCCUGGCUUUGUGGUAA
Molecule: long non-coding RNA, 1295 nt
Organism: Lathyrus oleraceus (garden pea)
Lineage: Eukaryota; Viridiplantae; Streptophyta; Magnoliopsida; Fabales; Fabaceae
Exons: 2
Source: RefSeq, a predicted model, not a curated record